GGAAUUCUAGAUAUUUGUCCAGCGCUUCAAUGGCAUUGAAGAGGUACGGGGUUCGAGUCCCCGCAGCUCCACCA
This 74-nucleotide transfer RNA is filed under the name SAR202 cluster bacterium AD-804-J14_MRT_500m. RNAcentral's name for it is "tRNA-Ala". The record is from RNAcentral. Lineage: Bacteria; Bacillati; Chloroflexota; Dehalococcoidia.